GCGUAGGGGUUCUGAGAGGAAGGUCCCCCACACUGGUACUGAGACACGGACCAGACUCCUACGGAAGGCAGCAG
This 74-nucleotide ribosomal RNA is filed under the name uncultured bacterium. RNAcentral's name for it is "partial 16S ribosomal RNA". It matches the Rfam family "Bacterial small subunit ribosomal RNA", at positions 281 to 354 of the family's 1533-position model. The record is from RNAcentral.